CGGGAGCUUGCUCCCUUAGGUCAGCGGCGGACGGGUGAGUAACACGUGGGUAACCUGCCUGUAAGACUGGGAUAACUCCGGGAAACCGGGGCUAAUACCGGAUGCUUGAUUGAACCGCAUGGUUCAAUCAUAAAAGGUGGCUUUUAGCUACCACUUGCAGAUGGACCCGCGGCGCAUUAGCUAGUUGGUGAGGUAACGGCUCACCAAGGCGACGAUGCGUAGCCGACCUGAGAGGGUGAUCGGCCACACUGGGACUGAGACACGGCCCAGACUCCUACGGGAGGCAGCAGUAGGGAAUCUUCCGCAAUGGACGAAAGUCUGACGGAGCAACGCCGCGUGAGUGAUGAAGGUUUUCGGAUCGUAAAACUCUGUUGUUAGGGAAGAACAAGUACCGUUCGAAUAGGGCGGUACCUUGACGGUACCUAACCAGAAAGCCACGGCUAACUACGUGCCAGCAGCCGCGGUAAUACGUAGGUGGCAAGCGUUGUCCGGAAUUAUUGGGCGUAAAGCGCGCGCAGGCGGUUUCUUAAGUCUGAUGUGAAAGCCCCCGGCUCAACCGGGGAGGGUCAUUGGAAACUGGGGAACUUGAGUGCAGAAGAGGAGAGUGGAUUCCACGUGUAGCGGUGAAAUGCGUAGAGAUGUGGAGGAACACCAGUGGCGAAGGCGACUCUCUGGUCUGUAACUGACGCUGAGGCGCG
This 698-nucleotide ribosomal RNA is filed under the name uncultured Bacilli bacterium. RNAcentral describes it as "bacterial SSU rRNA". It matches the Rfam family "Bacterial small subunit ribosomal RNA", at positions 73 to 755 of the family's 1533-position model. Lineage: Bacteria; Bacillati; Bacillota; Bacilli. The record is from RNAcentral.